CCCAAUAAUUAGCUCAACACAGAAAGAGGACAAAAGAUGCACAAAUUCACUUGAAACACAAAUGACGAUACUGGUUGGUGGAGACAUUUUAGUGAUAGUGGUCACUUUGGUUAUCAUAUAUCUGAAAAGAUAGAAAGAUAAUCAUUUAACAAGUUCCAUUAGUUCCUUUAGCAUCAUAUUAAGAAAUGGUCAAAGAAAAUUUCAAUUAUGACGUAUGCAUCAUAUUAAGAAAUGAUCAAAGCAAAUUUCAAUUAUUACGCAUGCAUCAUAUUAAGAAAUGAUCAAAGCAAAUUUCAAUUAUUACGC
This 306-nucleotide unclassified non-coding RNA is filed under the name Hevea brasiliensis (rubber tree). Lineage: Eukaryota; Viridiplantae; Streptophyta; Magnoliopsida; Malpighiales; Euphorbiaceae. The record is from RNAcentral.